GAAGGAGUGACUGCACUGGUGGACAAAGGCUGGGGUGCAGAUGAACUUUAUCUGGACAUUCUGUAAAGCCUUUAAUGUGGAAUGAUGGCAUUAAUGGGAAUUGAGUAAGCACCUCUGCUUGAAGAGAAUUGAUAUGAAGAUGAGAAAGUGGUGCCAGAUCAAGCUCCAUUGAAAGAGUGUUUGUGGCAGAUAUCCAAAGACUACUGAAAGAAGGGACCUGAGGAAGUAAACAUCCACCAGGAAACAACCAGGAGAUCAGGCCCAUCCAGCCUGGGUUUAGGAAAGGCACGUGCUGCAUGACCAACCUGAUCUCUUUGUAUGACCAGGUGACCCACCUGGUAGAGGAGGGAAAGGCUGUGGAUGAAGUCUACCUGGCAUUCUCCUGGAGAAGCUGGCAGCCCACAGCUCGGACAGGUUCACUC
Long non-coding RNA from Passer domesticus (house sparrow), 422 nucleotides. RefSeq lists it as uncharacterized. NCBI's taxonomy places the organism in Eukaryota, Metazoa, Chordata, Aves, Passeriformes, Passeridae. The record is from RefSeq and is a predicted model, not a curated record. The transcript has 3 exons.